Long non-coding RNA from Hippocampus zosterae (dwarf seahorse), 364 nucleotides. RefSeq lists it as uncharacterized. NCBI's taxonomy places the organism in Eukaryota, Metazoa, Chordata, Actinopteri, Syngnathiformes, Syngnathidae. The transcript is spliced from 5 exons. The record is from RefSeq and is a predicted model, not a curated record.
CAGACACCAAGUGACCUGACUGAACCCUCUGGAGACCAUGAAUGGAAUGAGAGAUCCACUUCAUUCUUACAACAGACACCGAGUGACCUGACUGAACCCUCUGGAGACCAUGAAUGGAAUGAUAGAUACACUUCAUCCUUACAACAGACACCAAGGGACCUGACUGAACCCUCUGGAGACCAUGAAUGGAGUGAGAGAUCCACUUCAUCCUUUCAACAGACAUCAAGUGACAGGUACCUGACUGAACCCUCUGGAAACCAAGAAUGGAGUGAGAGAUCCACUUCAUCCUUACAACAGACACCGAGUGACCUGACUGAACCCUCUGGAGACCAUGAAUGGAAUGAUAGAUACACUUCAUCCUUAC